UAGAAUAGUUUGGAUUAUGAAGUAUGUUUUAAAUUUGUAAGUUUUUAUUUUCUUGUCUUUUUUUUUUAAUUCCACAUUAUUGAAUGAACGCAUUUUACCAUUCCAGCAACUUAAAAUCCGUUCACAUUUCGUUUUCCCAUUGAAUUAUUGAUGAGUGUGAUGAACAGAAAACAAAGUGUCAUGCUCAUUAAGGUUUUCAUAUUUUUCUUAUUAGACUCACAAUUACAUACACUAGUAGAGACAGGUAUGGUGAAUGAAUUGCUAACAUUUUGAAUGCCAUCAUUACAAACUAGUUAGUAUCAAAUUAUAGUCGGUAUCAUCCGAGGCUGCACAUAACAAUGUAGCGAUAAAAAGUAAUUUGAAAUUUUAGCACAUACAGGAAUCAGGGAUGAGUGGCAAUUUAGUAAUAAUCGUGAAUAUUCCGAUGUACCAGUGCAAGCUAAGUUAUUGUUCGCUAAGCUUGUUUUGGAAGCGUUUAUAUGUAAGUAUGUCUGAUCUAUUUUAAACAAUUGCAUGGAUAAAGUCUCGGCCUUUUGUCUUGCAUAAAGUCAUAUUAAAUUGAAAUUGGCGGGAAACCAGAAUUAGGAUAGAAUAAGAUUAGUGUAGUAUAGAAUUAACAAGAAAGGUAUGCAUAAAGA
Molecule: non-coding RNA, 638 nt
Organism: Schizosaccharomyces pombe (fission yeast)
Lineage: Eukaryota; Fungi; Ascomycota; Schizosaccharomycetes; Schizosaccharomycetales; Schizosaccharomycetaceae
Source: the annotation of a GenBank genome assembly